Molecule: long non-coding RNA, 1278 nt
Filed under: Homo sapiens (human)
Lineage: Eukaryota; Metazoa; Chordata; Mammalia; Primates; Hominidae
Description: long independently transcribed non-coding RNA 2434 (LINC02434)
Source: RNAcentral
GGGUUCACCUCCUUCCGGUCUGAACAGUGAACUCCUCCGCAUGGACUCACGGGUUCACCUCCUUCCGGUCUGAACAGUGAACGCCUCCGCAUCGACUCACGGGUUCACCUCCUUCCGGUCUGAACAGUGAACUCCUCCGCAUGGACUCACGGGUUCACCUCCUUCCGGUCUGAACAGUGAACUCCUCCGCAUCGACUCACGGGUUCACCUCCUUCCGGUCUGAACAGUGAACUCCUCCGCAUGGACUCACGGGUUCACCUCCUUCCGGUCUGAACAGUGAACUCCGCAUCGACUCACGCGUUCACCUCCUUCCGGUCUAAAUGGUAAACUCCUCUGCAUUUUCUGUUCGGUUCUAUUUUGGUGGGGCCCACGCGUCAUCACAGAGUAUCUGGGAGCCCUGCCCUCUUGCAGAUGGGAAUGAAGGCCCAGGUGCUCUGGAGAGGUGACUCUCCUCUAGGUGAGGGGUGUGUGUGUGAGAGGAGUGAGGUGCGGUGUGGGAGGGUCCUUGCAGGGUCCGGCUGCUUUCGGAGGCUGUUUUUCUCAGCUCCCCGUUUUGUCCCUCCAAAUUGUGCCCCUCUCCUUCCAAUUGUCACUCUCCUUUCCCCCAACCCUCCCUGUCUCCCAGUUGUCUCGCUUCUCAGAAAGGAAACACUGGUUCUGUAAACCUGUUUGAGAAGAAAAGCUCGAGGUUUCUUGGCCUCUCUGCUUCUGGAGCCAGGGGAAAAAAUAGCCCCAGGCUGAAGACAGGAGGGACCAGAUUGCUGCUUGGUGAUGCGAUCUCACUGCAGAGGCAGCCAGGAGACCCUCCUGAGACGAAUCGGAGAGUCCAUGCUGCUUUUACACACAUCCUAGUUCUUUUAUAACUAGCCUUUUCCUAUUAACGGACAUCAUUCAAAAGCCAGUUUUAAGCAACAUAAAUAUUGAAAACAAUACUAUACUAUUUAGAAUUAAUUAUAAGUUUUGUUUUUAAAGCCUAAAUCUUUUAUUGUUGUUUGAACCCUGGGCACUGAAGCUAAUAAUGUAACUUUUCUCCCUUCUUUCUUCUUUGGCAUAGAUUUAAAGAACUGUUAGACUCAUUUAAAAUGCUAUUAGGCAUUUUAAAGAGUAAUUGUUAAAUGUGUUGUCUCUUGUGGGACUGGAAAUGUUCUGUUCUUAUCUGGCGCUGGUUACAUCCUGUUUUUCAUUUGGGAAAGUGCAUUGAGCUGGAAAUUUAUAUGUUCAAUUUCUGUAUGUAAAUUGUACUUCAGUAAAAAUUUUCAAAAAAGUGGCUGCCUUUUA